AGAGCCUACUACCAUGUAUUGUAGAUAUGUAGUAGUAGAGUAGUGGCCUGAGGGCACACACUUAAUGUGUUGUGAAAAGUGUUAUGAAUUGUAAUGUCAUGUAAUAUUUUUAGUUGUAUAUAACUGCCUUAAUAUUGCUAGACCUCAGGAAGGAGUAGCUGCUGCCUUGGCAGUAGCAUAAUGGGGAUCCUUAAUAAUGACAAAUACUGCUGCUCAUUAUCAGACAAGCUGACGCGGGAAUCGAGCCCUUCAAACUCGAUUCAAGCUGUUGGAUACUUUUUUUGCAACUUUCGCAGAAAUGUUUGGUGAUCGACUAGGAAUGCCUUGGAGAUUGACCAGUGGAUCACGAUCGACCGGUUGGUGACCACUGCUCUAGAAAUAAGACUGGCUGUCCCAACUGGAGUUGGCUAAUGGGAUCCGACGGGG
This 426-nucleotide long non-coding RNA is filed under the name Salmo salar (Atlantic salmon). Its description in RNAcentral is "lncRNA (ENSSSAG00000106782.1, ENSSSAG00020073036.1)". Lineage: Eukaryota; Metazoa; Chordata; Actinopteri; Salmoniformes; Salmonidae. The record is from RNAcentral.